AGGUCGUAACAAGGUCUCCGUAGGUGAACCUGCGGAGGGAUCAUUACCGAGUGAGGGCCCUCGCGGGCCCGACCUCCAACCCUUUGUCGAUGAAUAACACGUUGCCUCGGGGGGGCGACCCGGCCCUCGCGGCCGGGAGCCGCCCAGGGGACCCAUCAAUUCUGCGUCUUUGCGUCGGAGUUUUUAAUUGAAAAAAUCAAUCAAAA
RNAcentral lists this unclassified non-coding RNA (206 nucleotides) under plant metagenome. RNAcentral's name for it is "partial contains small subunit ribosomal RNA and internal transcribed spacer 1". The stretch from base 1 to 46 matches the Rfam family "Eukaryotic small subunit ribosomal RNA", at positions 1786 to 1831 of the family's 1831-position model. The record is from RNAcentral.